This 207-nucleotide ribosomal RNA is filed under the name uncultured bacterium. RNAcentral's name for it is "partial 16S ribosomal RNA". It matches the Rfam family "Bacterial small subunit ribosomal RNA", at positions 568 to 774 of the family's 1533-position model. The record is from RNAcentral.
UGCGUAGGCGGGCCGAUAAGUCGGAUGUGAAAUCCCACAGCUUAACUGUGGGUCGCCAUUCGAAACUGUCGGUCUUGAGUGCAGGAGAGGAGAGUGGAAUUCCUGGUGUAGCGGUGAAAUGCGUAGAUAUCAGGAGGAACACCGGUGGCGAAGGCGGCUCUCUGGACUGACACUGACGCUGAGGCACGAAGGCCGGGGGAGCAAACA